AUACGGAAGGUCCGGGCGUUAUCCGGAUUUAUUGGGUUUAAAGGGAGCGCAGGCGGAGAUGCAAGCGUGACGUCAAAUUUCGGGGCUCAACCCCGUCUCGCGUCGCGAACUGCGUCCCUUGGUUGCGGGAAGGGGAGGCGGAACUCGUGGUGGAGCGGUGAAAUGCAUAGAUAUCACGAAGAACUCCGAUCGCGAAGGCAGCCUUCCGGCCCGUCAACGACGCUCAUGCUCGAAGGUGCGGGUAUCAAACAGGAUUAGAUACCCUGGUAGUCCGCACAGUAAACGAUGGACACCCGCGGUUUGGCCUGUAUGGCUGAGCCGCCAAGCGAAAGCGUUAAGUGUCCCACCUGGGGAGUACGCCGGCAACGGUGAAACUCAAAUGAAUUGACGGGG
This 393-nucleotide ribosomal RNA is filed under the name uncultured bacterium. RNAcentral's name for it is "partial 16S ribosomal RNA". It matches the Rfam family "Bacterial small subunit ribosomal RNA", at positions 523 to 918 of the family's 1533-position model. The record is from RNAcentral.